GCUAAUAUCUAUUAUACAAUUAAAAAAAGAGCAUUUCAUGAAAAACAUUUUUUUUUUAAAUGUUUUAGGUGAUUUUCAAUAUUUUUUAUUCAAUGAUGUAAAUUCAAAUGACAUUUUCCCCUUAAAAGGAGAAGAUAUUAUCCUAGAAGGUAUAUCUCUAUUUUUGCUGACAGUUUUGGUACCACACAGUUCAGACUAAAUGCAUGCCUUCCUGAAGAUAUACACGUUAUCCAAGCUAAACUCUUAAAUACUGAAUUUGGAUUAUAGACAGAGAAAUUGCAACUGUUCACAAUGUUAUAGCCUUUGCUGCCAUCUACUGUAUCAC
Pelobates cultripes (western spadefoot toad) is the source of this 325-nucleotide non-coding RNA. The record is from the annotation of a GenBank genome assembly. Lineage: Eukaryota; Metazoa; Chordata; Amphibia; Anura; Pelobatidae.